GCAGGGUAGGUUACGGCGCGUCAAGUGUCCAAGUACGGGGAGUUGACUUGGAACGAAGGGAUGAAACAGGCCCGCGGUGCCGGUACCGCAUCCCACUGC
RNAcentral lists this non-coding RNA (99 nucleotides) under Candidatus Faecaligallichristensenella faecipullorum. RNAcentral's name for it is "THF riboswitch". It matches the Rfam family "THF (Tetrahydrofolate) riboswitch aptamer". Rfam says of the family: THF riboswitch presents a pseudoknot that joins P1-P2 and the loop of P3 and two THF binding. The record is from RNAcentral. Lineage: Bacteria; Bacillati; Bacillota; Clostridia.